UGGUUUCGGGUCUGGGGGAAU
This 21-nucleotide non-coding RNA is filed under the name Arabidopsis thaliana (thale cress). Lineage: Eukaryota; Viridiplantae; Streptophyta; Magnoliopsida; Brassicales; Brassicaceae. The record is from RNAcentral.